RNAcentral lists this ribosomal RNA (378 nucleotides) under uncultured bacterium. RNAcentral describes it as "bacterial SSU rRNA". It matches the Rfam family "Bacterial small subunit ribosomal RNA", at positions 523 to 898 of the family's 1533-position model. The record is from RNAcentral.
AUACGUAUGGGGCAAGCGUUAUCCGGAUUCAUUGGGCGUAAAGCGCGCGUAGGCGGCUUGUUAAGUCAGGCGUGAAAUCCGGGGGCUCAACCCGCGGCUUGCGUCUGAAACUGGCAGGCUUGAGUCUGGUAGAGGAAAGUGGAAUUCCUGGUGUAGCGGUGAAAUGCGCAGACAUCAGGAGGAACACCAGUGGCGAAGGCGGCUUUCUGGGCCACGACUGACGCUGAGGCGCGAAAGCUAGGGGAGCGAACAGGAUUAGAUACCCUGGUAGUCCUAGCCGUAAACGAUGGGCACUAGGUGUGGGGGGUCAUCGACUCCCUCCGUGCCGAAGCUAACGCAUUAAGUGCCCCGCCUGGGGAGUACGGCCGCAAGGCUAAA